CCUACGGGAGGCAGCAGUGGGGAAUAUUGCACAAUGGGCGAAAGCCUGAUGCAGCGACGCCGCGUGAGCGAUGAAGUAUUUCGGUAUGUAAAGCUCUAUCAGCAGGGAAGAAGAAUGACGGUACCUGACUAAGAAGCACCGGCUAAAUACGUGCCAGCAGCCGCGGUAAUACGUAUGGUGCAAGCGUUAUCCGGAUUUACUGGGUGUAAAGGGAGCGCAGGCGGUACGGCAAGUCUGAUGUGAAAGCCCGGGGCUCAACCCCGGUACUGCAUUGGAAACUGUCGAACUAGAGUGUCGGAGGGGUAAGUGGAAUUCCUAGUGUAGCGGUGAAAUGCGUAGAUAUCAGGAGGAACACCAGUGGCGAAGGCGGCUUACUGGACGAUAACUGACGCUGAGGCUCGAAAGCGUGGGGAGCAAACAGGAUUAGAUACCCUGGUAGUCCACGCCGUAAACGGUGGGUACUAGGUGCGGGGUCCAUUCCACGGGUUCCGUGCCGUAGCUAACGCUUUAAGUACCCCGCCUGGGGAGUACGGCCGCAAGGCUAAAACUCAAAGGAAUUGACGGGGACCCGCACAAGCGGUGGAGCAUGUGGUUUAAUUCGAAGCAACGCGAAGAACCUUACCAAGUCUUGAUAUCCCGAUGACCAACUAUGUAAUGUAGUCUCUCUUCGGAGCAUCGGUGACAGGUGGUGCAUGGUUGUCGUCAGCUCGUGUCGUGAGAUGUUGGGUUAAGUCCCGCAACGAGCGCAACCCUUGUCCUUAGUAGCCAGCAUUUCGGAUGGGCACUCUAGGGAGACUGCCAGGGAUAACCUGGAGGAAGGCGGGGAUGACGUCAAAUCAUCAUGCCCCUUAUGACUUGGGCUACACACGUGCUACAAUGGCGUAAACAAAGGGAAGCGAAACCGUGAGGUCAAGCAAAUCUCGAAAAUAACGUCUCAGUUCGGAUUGUAGUCUGCAACUCGACUACAUGAAGCUGGAAUCGCUAGUAAUCGCGAAUCAGCAUGUCGCGGUGAAUACGUUCCCGGGCCUUGUACACACCGCC
RNAcentral lists this ribosomal RNA (1041 nucleotides) under uncultured Roseburia sp. RNAcentral's name for it is "bacterial SSU rRNA". It matches the Rfam family "Bacterial small subunit ribosomal RNA", at positions 338 to 1394 of the family's 1533-position model. The record is from RNAcentral. Lineage: Bacteria; Bacillati; Bacillota; Clostridia; Lachnospirales; Lachnospiraceae.